UACGGAGGGUACAAGCAUUAAUCGGAAUUAUUGGGCGUAAAGGGCGCGUAGGCGGAUAUAUAAGUCAGAUGUGAAAUACCAAAGCUCAACUUUGGUGCUGCCUCUGAAACUAUAAAUCUAGGGGAUUGACGGAGAAAGCGGAAUUCCACGUGUAGCGGUGAAAUGCGUAGAUACGUGGAGGAACACCGGUGGCGAAAGCGGCUUUCUAGUUUGUUCCCGACGCUGAGGCGCGAGAGCAAGGGGAGCAAACAGU
RNAcentral lists this ribosomal RNA (253 nucleotides) under uncultured bacterium. RNAcentral's name for it is "partial 16S ribosomal RNA". It matches the Rfam family "Bacterial small subunit ribosomal RNA", at positions 524 to 776 of the family's 1533-position model. The record is from RNAcentral.